Malurus melanocephalus (red-backed fairy wren) is the source of this 4471-nucleotide long non-coding RNA. RefSeq lists it as uncharacterized. NCBI's taxonomy places the organism in Eukaryota, Metazoa, Chordata, Aves, Passeriformes, Maluridae. The record is from RefSeq and is a predicted model, not a curated record. The transcript has 3 exons.
CUUUGCCCGCGGAGCAGGAAGCGGGAGCGGCGGGAGCAGCCCUGUAGGAAGGGUUCCUGGUUGCUGAACCUGAUGUAACUGCGCAGAUGGACCAAGGAGAAGAACAAGAAUACGAGGCCUUGGAGGAGACACAAAUGGUGAGGAACAAGUAAUGGCCAGAGAGAACCUAGAGAUGUUCCAAGGAUCCGUGUCUCCUGCUGUUACUUCUAGUGGGGAGUGAUUUUUAUCCCAGGAAAAACCAGCUCAAAUUUGUACCUGUUUCCUGCCCAAGCUUCCUGCAUUUUCCUUCACAGUAAGGCCACAGCCUGGGAUGACUGGUUCCCAUUGAAUCCACGUCUCCCAUGUGCCAGUMGUCUUGUUUUUAGAGGGUGUUUGCAUCUAUUUAUUUGAAAUCCCUGCAGCACUGUGCUGGGUGCCUCUGUGUGCAUGUUUUGGGCCCAGCUGAAGCUGCUUUGGGGCCAUGUCUAUGGAACAGUGUGUUCACUGGGUUGUGUCAUUGUUAAAUUGACAAUUCCACAAAUGAAGCUGCUGUCUGACAGCUCAGUUCUAAGCAGCAGUUAAGUAAAUUAACAUCCAAUAGGUAUUUCUCUCAGAGUCGUGUUCAGGUGCUUUUGUGGGUGGCACUUUAUGAAUGUUUUUAUAAGGCUUUUARAAGUAUUUAGGAUGACUUUUUCAAUUGUGUUUUAAUUGUCCGAUUAACUAAAAAUGAACAGAAAAUUGAUGGUAUUUGAAAAAUAAGCUGUGUCAAAUUGAUUUUAUAUUAAAUGUUAAGCAUUCUUUCUUCCAUAAAACUUUUAAUUUAAACACUACAGUUUUGAGCUGUUCAUGAUUACAAAGAGGUAAUUAUGAUUUCUCAACUGAUUCUGAGAAUUUCUGCAGUAUUUCUUGUGAGUGGUUUUGACAGUUUUAAUAAUGACUUUCUAAGGAACAUGAGGGAGGCAGGAUUCUGAGAAAGCAGAAGGAACUGACCUUUGAAGAGAUSUUCUUCACUCUGAGGAGGAGAAUACUACUACUGGAAGCCUGUCCUUAGCAGGAAUUCUAGCUCAGGCGACCGCUUGGUACGGGGGAGGAGGAGGGAACUGGCAGUAAUAACAAAGAUGUUAAUAUCUCUAGCGUGGAAGAACUGCCUGUAAUGAGCGUGGCAGUAUAUACUGAAAUGCCUGUUCCACCCACGAAGACAAACAGGGGAAGAAAUCACAGUGUGCUCCAGGCGAGAAAAUGAAGCCAUCAAAUCUGUUGUGCUGCAGAAUUUUCAUUUUCAGCCCCACACACGAUGCAAACGGUGAGCUUUCACAUGGGGGUGAGCUCCCAAACGGGAAAGAUCACCUAGGGCAAAGAGAAUGCCCAGCGUGAAGAGCACAGGAUACCAUGAAAACAAGCAAGCUGUGACCAGAAUAUGACUGGAAUUACUGGCUGAGUAAUGCAGACACAUCCAUCCCUCCCUUAGCCACCAGCUGCUGCCACAAAGGGCACAGGUUUUUGCUCCAUUGGCAGGAAAGCUGGUUUAAGUCAUUUGGUCUCUACUCCCACCUUCUUUCCAAGAGCUUCAGUUAAUACAGCUGAGCUGACUAAGUGUUCACAUGGCUGUACUUUUAAGAUCUAUAAGAUGAUCCAUGCUUUUUAAAUUACAGACUUUGGAGAGUUGAUUCCAAACUCCAUUAAUCCAAUCUAGACCACAGGCUAGAAAUGUACGACUGAGAGGCUUGGAGUCAGAGARCAGACAGGCCAAAAAUAAGAAAUAAAUAAUGUGGCCAGUAUUGUUGUUAGUUCCGAAGAAACACAUCAUUUAAGAUGUUUGUUGCUUUUCUUUCUUCCUUUUUUUUAAUGUUUCUAAGAAGGGCUAGGCCUGAAAAAGCCUGACACAUUGCCUUGGUUGCUGCUGCACUCCCAGCCCCAUCAGAAAGGCAUCCAUUGCCACCAGAGAAUGGAAACUACAAUUCAUUUCUAUGGUGUCCUUGCUGCACAUGCUGAUGCCAAAAUAUGUACUUAUUCUGAAGGGUAAUUCUGCCCCCACAAACUGACUGAAAAGAUGUCUCUUGCCUCAGAGCUGGAGCGUCAGCCAACUGUGUACGUUUGUGGAAUGCAGAGAGCAAGGUCAAGAACAGGAUGGUGACAUCUGCACAGUACAAGGUGCCAGGGGCACGGGAGCCAGGCAGUAUUAGCCCAGGUGAACUCUUUUGCUCUAAUGCUGUUYCUGUUUGUUUUCCAAAGUAGGCACAUGGAGAACCUGCUGCUGGGCACUCUUAGUCACUCAUUGAGGUACAGAAAGAGCAGGCGUCGGGUAAUUUUGAGAUCAGCCUCUUUCCAGAAAUGGCAGCCAAAACUGCUGUGAGGUCUUGCCUGCAUCUCUGCAUGACUUCUCAGAGGGMUGGCUGUCCUGUUCUAAAAAUGCCAGGUUGCCACCUAACCAGUGGCCUGGGCCACAUGUUGGCUUUGGUGCACCCUGUAGCCUGGUCUUCUCACUUGUAGCUYUUGCUGCAAGUGCCCCUCUGGGCAGCGUUGUUCAGCUGGCAGUCAGAGUGACUGAACCUGGGCUGUGGCAGACAAUUCUGCUCCAGAAUAUCCUAUACAUAGAAUAUAGUACACUAAUAGCUUAUGCAGAGCAGAUGGGCAGAGGCAGCAACCGGGUUCACUCCGGGGCUGUAUUACAGACGGGUGUAGGACAUAACCCAAGGGUCCUAACCAGCUGAGUAAGAUGACUGAUGUUCAUGCAGCAUUUUUGUGCUGACACUUGUUGAAGCACACCAGCGUGUUACCCUUCACUUGGCUUGGAUUCAGUGUUAAUCUGCAGGCAGCUGUUUCCCUUUCCCAGGCUCUCCCUACCGGCUGCUUCACAAACACGUGUUCUCCUUUAUUCACCUAAGCAGUUUGUCCACUAUUUUGACCAUGAAUUUUUUGUUUUUCUGAUUAACCUGAACAAGUUUAAUCAUGAAAUCAGUGUAAUUGAUUUAAACAUUAAUGCUUAAACAGGAAAUCAGUUAAGCUCAGCCGUAAGGGCAGCUUCUUUACUGAUUUGGUUGCGGAUAAAGUUGAGCUUUUCACARCAGUGCGUGGAUCUCAGAUCUCCUCAGCAACACUUGGGAUGCUAUCCACACUCUGCCUUUCAGAGAGCUUUGAAGCAGUAUGAAACUAGGCUUCUGCUCUUCAAACACUUUUUGAAAUGUGUUCUCUGCAUGCUGCACUUGCUUGAGUGUUGAACUUUUAAGACUUAGAAUUCUCUUGAAAUCCUCUAAAACCCCUUGUUGUUGGGAGCUCUUUAACUCCAGGCUCAUUGAUAUGAUGAGAGAAGUUGGUACACUUAGGAAUUGUUUCAUCUACAAUGCAGCAUCUUCUCUUAAUUAAGAAGUGUCUCUCAUCAGGAUGACAGGCUGUCUAUGGAGAUCUCUUGAUUACAGAGCUCUGCUACAAUAACUUUCCUUUUACAGCUACUCACAAGAACCAGCCUAGACUGCAUUUUACUGAAACUGAGGAGUGAAAUUUUCCAUUCAGGCACCAUAUUGGCCUGGACAGAAGGCACCCUCAGAUCUCCCUUCUGAGAAGUGAAGACAAAAAUUUAUAUAUAUAAAUAUUUCUAUUUUAAAAAAUACAUAAACCCAAACACAUUUCACCAUUUCCCUCCCCAAAUACUAAUUAAAACAUACCUUAGGCUCAGAGAGGCUGCUACCCACACAAGUUCUGUCACUCUGUUCAUGGGGUGAAGACUUAUUUGUGCAUGGGACCAAGUUCUCUCUGAGCCUUGGCAGCUCAGCUCCACACUGAUACAGGUUCCAAGUUGCAUCCAUUGGUUCUGGCUGCCAGAAUUGCACAUUGCAGUCUCUGUAAAUCAGCUGCACUGGGGGGUGUGUAUGCACUGUGGUSUUACAAAUUUGAGUAGUUUUACUUUCUCAGAAAUCCUGAGCACUUGACUGUGCUGAUACAAGCAGCUGUGACUGGCACAUAAGUGUGGUAAUGACAAAUACUGAUACUUAGGAAGGACAUGGCAGUGGGCAGUGUAUCUUUACACUUUUUACACACUUUACACAUCUUUUACACACUUUACACAAAGCUUUUAGAUUUUUGUGCUACUGUUUUACCUBGUCUUCGCCUUACUGGAUGUUAGCAACCUCACCAAAACUUGUAAUUCUAAGGUGAGUGGACCGAGGCCUGUAGAAACACAUAUUCUGGUUUUGCCAGGAAGCAGAGAGCUUUGAGAGACUAAAUUAAUUAAUCAUUUAGUAGGCUCUUGAGUGUAAAAUGCAACCAGUUGGAGCUCUGCCUCUCACUACCCUGGAGAACCUAUUCAGAGACAAGUGCACGGAGUGAUCUGCUGCUCAAAGAGAUGAUCUGAUAACUGGGACAUGAAAAUCACUCCCACCUGCUCUGGGGAGCUGAUGGAAACCAAUUUUACAUGCAAGCAGAAAGGAUAUUCUGUCACACAGCAGGGACUAAAUGCAAACAGUACACCUGCUGUAAUAAACGAUCCUAUGCCAUU